GUUGAAGGGGAACCGAUGGUCCGAGCAUUAAAUACCAUUGAGUAUCCUCUGUUAUGGUUGCUUCCAUAUCAACUGAGACCUACACAGUAAUUGGAGUACAAGCAUUCUAAGUUUGUUAAUCUGAUUAUUGAAGGGGAACCGAUGGUCCGACCAUUAGAAUGUGCAAGGCGUUACUUCCAGUAAAUGAAGAACAUUUGACUGAUGAAGCCAUAUGGGAGUCACUUCCUGUAAAGCAUGAUCACACAGUCAUCACUAAUGACCUUUCAGCAUCGAAAAACAUCAAAUCCAAAAAUCUAAUGUUUUC
Molecule: long non-coding RNA, 304 nt
Organism: Helianthus annuus (common sunflower)
Lineage: Eukaryota; Viridiplantae; Streptophyta; Magnoliopsida; Asterales; Asteraceae
Exons: 3
Source: RefSeq, a predicted model, not a curated record